UUGAUCUUCCUUUUCCAAGAUUUUACACAACUCGCCUUGGUUGCAGUCUUUACAUUGAUAUUUCUUCUAUAAUUAACUAACCAAGUCCCAUCAACUCUUGAAUCAGAGACGAUAGAAUUUGAAGACAAUGCCAAAUCGUACAAUCUGGGAAUUUGUUCUUCGAAGAUACAUGGCUCAUCUAUCUUCUCCUCCUCCGCUUCCUUCGACUAUCAUCACUUUCACUAUCACUGUCGUCAGAACUGGAUGAUGAUGAUUCAGAUUCUGAACCAGAACUCCCAGNNN
Molecule: long non-coding RNA, 282 nt
Filed under: Solanum tuberosum (potato)
Lineage: Eukaryota; Viridiplantae; Streptophyta; Magnoliopsida; Solanales; Solanaceae
Description: long non-coding RNA (STUB_LNC001054)
Source: RNAcentral